GCCCGUGUGGCUCAGUGGUUGAGCAUCAGCCCAUGAACCAGGAGGUCAGGGUUCGAUUCCCAGUCAGGGCU
This 71-nucleotide transfer RNA is filed under the name Myotis davidii. It matches the Rfam family "tRNA". From Rfam's summary of the family: Transfer RNA (tRNA) molecules are approximately 80 nucleotides in length. Lineage: Eukaryota; Metazoa; Chordata; Mammalia; Chiroptera; Vespertilionidae. The record is from Rfam by way of RNAcentral.